AGAGUUUGAUCAUGGCUCAGAUUGAACGCUGGCGGCAUGCCUUACACAUGCAAGUCGAACGGUAACGCGGGGCAACCUGGCGACGAGUGGCGAACGGGUGAGUAAUACAUCGGAACGUGCCCAGUAGUGGGGGAUAGCCCGGCGAAAGCCGGAUUAAUACCGCAUACGACCUACGGGUGAAAGCAGGGGAUCGCAAGACCUUGCGCUGCUGGAGCGGCCGAUGUCAGAUUAGGUAGUUGGUGGGGUAAAAGCCUACCAAGCCGACGAUCUGUAGCGGGUCUGAGAGGACGACCAGCCACACUGGGACUGAGACACGGCCCAGACUCCGACGGGAGGCAGCAGUGGGGAAUUUUGGACAAUGGGCGCAAGCCUGAUCCAGCCAUGCCGCGUGCGGGAAGAAGGCCUUCGGGUUGUAAACCGCUUUUGUCAGGGAAGAAAAGCUCCGGGCCAAUACCCCGGGGUCAUGACGGUACCUGAAGAAUAAGCACCGGCUAACUACGUGCCAGCCGCCGCGGUAAUUC
RNAcentral lists this ribosomal RNA (521 nucleotides) under uncultured bacterium. RNAcentral describes it as "bacterial SSU rRNA". It matches the Rfam family "Bacterial small subunit ribosomal RNA", at positions 8 to 526 of the family's 1533-position model. The record is from RNAcentral.